This is a long non-coding RNA of Anguilla anguilla (European eel), 359 nucleotides long. RefSeq lists it as uncharacterized. The record is from RefSeq and is a predicted model, not a curated record. Lineage: Eukaryota; Metazoa; Chordata; Actinopteri; Anguilliformes; Anguillidae. The transcript has 3 exons.
AUUUGGUGUCAACAGGGUGGUUGACAGUAGUAACCAAGAGGAAUCAUAUAGGCAUUACGUCCUACAUUCUGAAGUACUUAAGAGGAAUUUUACAUGGAAUCUUCUAGACUGGAGUAAAGAAGAGGGAGAAAAUGCGAACACGUCGGCGCCGCCUAUCUCCAAAGAUCAAAGGGAGGGACUGAGGAUAACACGAGCACGUCUCAGAGGGAACCGGCCCGCGAAUCUGAGGCGGAAACCGGAGGAAGUGCCUCGAUGCCCGCGUGCCAGAAACAGAGCGAGCCUCCAAACGAAAGUGACGAUGAGAGCCUACCAAUGCGUACGCGUUACCAACUGCACUCUUCAACUCCCCUAAUAAAGAG